CAGCCGCCGCGGUAAUACGAGGGGGGCAAGCGUUGUUCGGAAUUAUUGGGCGUAAAGGGUGCGUAGGCGGUUUGACAAGUCUUAUGUGAAAUCUCUGGGCUCAACCCAGAGUCUGCAUGGGAAACUGUCGGGCUUGAGUAUGGGAGAGGUGAGUGGAAUUUCCGGUGUAGCGGUGAAAUGCGUAGAUAUCGGAAGGAACACCUGUGGCGAAAGCGGCUCACUGGACCAUAACUGACGCUGAUGCACGAAAGCUAGGGGAGCAAAUGGGAUUAGAUACCCCUGUAGUCCCUGUCUCUUAUAC
RNAcentral lists this ribosomal RNA (301 nucleotides) under uncultured bacterium. RNAcentral describes it as "partial 16S ribosomal RNA". It matches the Rfam family "Bacterial small subunit ribosomal RNA", at positions 509 to 807 of the family's 1533-position model. The record is from RNAcentral.